Molecule: ribosomal RNA, 257 nt
Filed under: uncultured bacterium
Lineage: Bacteria
Description: partial 16S ribosomal RNA
Rfam family: Bacterial small subunit ribosomal RNA
Source: RNAcentral
UACAGAGACCUCAAGCGUUAUCCGGAAUCAUUGGGCGUAAAGCGUACCGAUAGGUGGUUUAAUAAGCCCGGGGUGAAAUACCGAAGCUCAACUUCGGAUCUGUCUUCGGGGACUAUUAAACUAGAGGGGCAAAGAGGAAGCUGGAACAAACGGUGUAGCAGUGAAAUGCGUUGAUAUCGUUUGGAACACCAAUAGCGUAGGCAGGCUUCUGGGUGCCACCUGACACUGCUAGGACGAAAGCGUGGGGAGCGAAUGGG